AGUUGUUCUCCUGGGGAAAAUUUGUCUUGAAAACAAAUUCAAAGUGUUCAAUUCACUUAAUAACUU
Molecule: transfer RNA, 66 nt
Filed under: Brunneifusus ternatanus
Lineage: Eukaryota; Metazoa; Mollusca; Gastropoda; Neogastropoda; Melongenidae
Description: tRNA-Ser
Source: RNAcentral